RNAcentral lists this ribosomal RNA (511 nucleotides) under uncultured Desulfobulbus sp. RNAcentral's name for it is "bacterial SSU rRNA". It matches the Rfam family "Bacterial small subunit ribosomal RNA", at positions 903 to 1382 of the family's 1533-position model. The record is from RNAcentral. Lineage: Bacteria; Pseudomonadati; Thermodesulfobacteriota; Desulfobulbia; Desulfobulbales; Desulfobulbaceae.
CGCCUUGCCAGCCCGCUCAGAAACUUAAAGGAAGUUGACGGGGGCCCGCACAAGCGGUGGAGUAUGUGGUUUAAUUCGAUGCAACGCGAAGAACCUUACCUGGUCUUGACAUCCCGGAGACCCUUAGGAAACUAGGGGUGCUUCCAUCUGGAAGAAUCUGGAGACGGGUGCUGCAUGGCUGUCGUCAGCUCGUGUCGUGAGAUGUUGGGUUAAGUCCCGCAACGAGCGCAACCCUUGCCUUUAGUUGCCAGCAGUUCGGCUGGGCACUCUAAAGGGACUGCCGGUGUUAAACCGGAGGAAGGUGGGGAUGACGUCAAGUCCUCAUGGCCUUUAUGACCAGGGCUACACACGUACUACAAUGGCCGAUACAAAGGGCAGCGACACUGCGAGGUGAAGCCAAUCCCGUAAAAUCGGUCUCAGUCCGGAUUGGAGUCUGCAACUCGACUCCAUGAAGUUGGAAUCGCUAGUAAUCGUGGAUCAGCAUGCCACGGUGAAUACGUUCCCGGGCCUU